This 525-nucleotide ribosomal RNA is filed under the name uncultured bacterium. Its description in RNAcentral is "bacterial SSU rRNA". It matches the Rfam family "Bacterial small subunit ribosomal RNA", at positions 382 to 916 of the family's 1533-position model. The record is from RNAcentral.
CCUGACGCAGCGACGCCGCGUGGGGGAUGACGGCCUUCGGGUUGUAAACCUCUUUCGGCCCCGACGAAGCGUGAGUGACGGUAGGGGUAGAAGAAGCACCGGCCAACUACGUGCCAGCAGCCGCGGUAACACGUAGGGUGCGAGCGUUGUCCGGAAUUAUUGGGCGUAAAGAGCUCGUAGGCGGUGUGUCGCGUCGGCCGUGAAAACCUGUGGCUUAACUGUGGGCUUGCGGUCGAUACGGGCAUCACUGGAGUUCGGCAGGGGAGACUGGAAUUCCUGGUGUAGCGGUGAAAUGCGCAGAUAUCAGGAGGAACACCGGUGGCGAAGGCGGGUCUCUGGGCCGAUACUGACGCUGAGGAGCGAAAGCGUGGGGAGCGAACAGGAUUAGAUACCCUGGUAGUCCACGCCGUAAACGUUGGGCGCUAGGUGUGGGGGCCAUUCCACGGUCUCUGUGCCGUAGCUAACGCAUUAAGCGCCCCGCCUGGGGAGUACGGCCGCAAGGCUAAAACUCAAAGGAAUUGACGG